RNAcentral lists this ribosomal RNA (433 nucleotides) under uncultured bacterium. Its description in RNAcentral is "partial 16S ribosomal RNA". It matches the Rfam family "Bacterial small subunit ribosomal RNA", at positions 29 to 507 of the family's 1533-position model. The record is from RNAcentral.
AACGAACGCUGGCGGCAUGCCUAACACAUGCAAGUCGAACGAGCCCUUCGGGUUUAGUGGCGCACGGGUGCGUAACGCGUGGGAACCUGCCUUUUGGUUCGGAAUAACUCAGAGAAAUUUGAGCUAAUACCGGAUGAUGUCUUCGGACCAAAGAUUUAUCGCCAUUAGAUGGGCCCGCGUUGGAUUAGCUAGUUGGUGGGGUAACGGCCUACCAAGGCGACGAUCCCUAGCUGGUCUGAGAGGAUGAGCAGCCACACUGGGACUGAGACACGGCCCAGACUCCUACGGGAGGCAGCAGUGGGGAAUACUGCACAAUGGGCGAAAGCCUGAAGCAGCCAUGCCGCGUGAGUGAUGAAGGUCUUAGGGUUGUAAAGCUCUUUUACCCGAGAUGAUAAUGACGGUACCGGGAGAAGAAGCCCCGGCUAACUUCGUG